GACGAACGCUGGCGGUGUGCUUAACACAUGCAAGUCGAACGGUAAGGCCCUUUCGGGGGUCCCCGAUUGGCGAACGGGUGAGUAACACGUUAUUAACCUGCCCUCAUCUCUGGGAUAACAGUCGGAACCGGUUGCUAAUACUGGAUAUGAGCUUGCAAGGCAUCUUGUGGGUUGGAAAGAUUUUUUUGGUUGGGGAUGGACUCGCGGCCUAUCAGCUUGUUGGUGAGGUAGUGGCUCACCAAGGCUUCGACGGGUAGCCGGCCUGAGAGGGCGACCGGCCACAUUGGGACUGAGAUACGGCCCAAACUCCUACGGGAGGCAGCAGUGGGGAAUAUUGCACAAUGGACGGAAGUCUGAUGCAGCAACGCCGCGUGCGGGAUGACGGACUUCGGGUUGUAAACCGCUUUCAAUUGUGACGAAGCUUUUUGUGACGGUAGCAGUAGAAGAAGCACCGGCUAACUACGUG
Molecule: ribosomal RNA, 466 nt
Filed under: uncultured bacterium
Lineage: Bacteria
Description: partial 16S ribosomal RNA
Rfam family: Bacterial small subunit ribosomal RNA
Source: RNAcentral